CUCCCUGAGCGCCUUUGGGCUCUGGUUUUUGUUGGGGGGGGGGGUGAGUGUUUGUUUUUAAAAAAUUAUUUUUGUGUUUUUCCAGUUGGGGAAGGCAGAGGCACCCCGGCAGAGUUCCCAGGUCUGGGGAGGUGUGCCGCCGAGCGCGGUUUGGAGAGACGGCGCGACCUCUUUGCAGAAGGGGCUCCUGGCCCCGGAACCUCCCCGCGCGGCUUCUAGUCGCAGAGCUGGGAAAGGUUAGCGGUGGAAAACUCUGGAAUGGAGGAAAGACUGGCAACUGGAGCAGGACCCAGGGCUUUAAAUUUUAACCCGAGUUCGAUCGAGUGCGUGGUUCUCACCGUGGCUUCCAAGGUCUCGCUGGAUUGCGGUCCCUCAGCGACCUGCACCAAGCUUUUAAACGAACUGAAUUUUGCAAAGCUCGUGUAUAAGCAGUCAUGCGAAUGUUCUGGACGGUUGAUUUCCUUUGAGUCCAAUUGUUUGUUUUUUUGUUUGUUUGUUUUUUGAAGUGUUUUUCAGAUUUGUGUUAAAAGGAUUUUUUAAAAUUUGCAUUUGCUAAAAAAUAAAUGCUUUGUUGGA
Long non-coding RNA from Cavia porcellus (domestic guinea pig), 576 nucleotides. RefSeq lists it as uncharacterized. The record is from RefSeq and is a predicted model, not a curated record. The transcript has 2 exons. NCBI's taxonomy places the organism in Eukaryota, Metazoa, Chordata, Mammalia, Rodentia, Caviidae.